Molecule: ribosomal RNA, 707 nt
Filed under: Microbacterium aurantiacum
Lineage: Bacteria; Bacillati; Actinomycetota; Actinomycetes; Micrococcales; Microbacteriaceae
Description: bacterial SSU rRNA
Rfam family: Bacterial small subunit ribosomal RNA
Source: RNAcentral
GAGAGGGUGACCGGCCACACUGGGACUGAGACACGGCCCAGACUCCUACGGGAGGCAGCAGUGGGGAAUAUUGCACAAUGGGCGGANNAGCCUGAUGCAGCAACGCCGCGUGAGGGAUGACMSGGCCUUCGGGUUGUAAACCUCUUUUAGCAGGGAAGAAGCGAAAGUGACGGUACCUGCAGAAAAAGCGCCGGCUAACUACGUGCCAGCAGCCGCGGUAAUACAAAAUUUUUGUAGGGCGCAAGCGUUAUCCGGAAUUAUUGGGCGUAAAGAGCUCGUAGGCGGUUUGUCGCGUCUGCUGUGAAAUCCGGAGGCUCAACCUCCAGCCUGCAGUGGGUACGGGCAGACUAGAGUGCGGUAGGGGAGAUUGGAAUUCCUGGUGUAGCGGUGGAAUGCGCAGAUAUCAGGAGGAACACCGAUGGCGAAGGCAGAUCUCUGGGCCGUAACAUCGUGACGCUGAGGAGCGAAAGGGUGGGGAGCAAACAGGCUUAGAUACCCUGGUAGUCCACCCCGUAAACGUUGGGAACUAGUUGUGGGGUCCAUUCCACGGAUUCCGUGACGCAGCUAACGCAUUAAGUUCCCCGCCUGGGGAGUACGGCCGCAAGGCUAAAACUCAAAGGAAUUGACGGGGACCCGCACAAGCGGCGGAGCAUGCGGAUUAAUUCGAUGCAACGCGAAGAACCUUACCAAGGCUUGACAUACACGAG